Molecule: ribosomal RNA, 500 nt
Filed under: Listeria monocytogenes
Lineage: Bacteria; Bacillati; Bacillota; Bacilli; Caryophanales; Listeriaceae
Description: bacterial LSU rRNA
Rfam family: Bacterial large subunit ribosomal RNA
Source: RNAcentral
CGGGAGAAGGGGUGCUCUAUUAGGGUGCAAGCCCGAGAGAGCCGCAGUGAAUAGGCCCAGGCGACUGUUUAGCAAAAACACAGGUCUCUGCAAAACCGUAAGGUGACGUAUAGGGGCUGACGCCUGCCCGGUGCUGGAAGGUUAAGAGGAGUGCUUAGCUUCGGCGAAGGUACGAAUUGAAGCCCCAGUAAACGGCGGCCGUAACUAUAACGGUCCUAAGGUAGCGAAAUUCCUUGUCGGGUAAGUUCCGACCCGCACGAAAGGCGCAACGAUCUGGGCACUGUCUCAACGAGAGACUCGGUGAAAUUAUAGUACCUGUGAAGAUGCAGGUUACCCGCGACAGGACGGAAAGACCCCGUGGAGCUUUACUGCAACCUGAUAUGGAAUGUUUGUACCGCUUGUACAGGAUAGGUAGGAGCCGAAGAGACGUGUGCGCUAGCAUACGAGGAGGCAAUGGUGGGAUACUACCCUGGCUGUAUGACCAUUCUAACCCGCCACGC